This 253-nucleotide ribosomal RNA is filed under the name uncultured bacterium. Its description in RNAcentral is "partial 16S ribosomal RNA". It matches the Rfam family "Bacterial small subunit ribosomal RNA", at positions 524 to 776 of the family's 1533-position model. The record is from RNAcentral.
UACGUAGGGAGCAAGCGUUGUCCGGAAUCAUUGGGCGUAAAGCGCGCGUAGGUGGCCCCAUAAGUCCGCUGUGAAAGUCAAAGGCUCAACCUUUGAAAGCCGGUGGAUACUGUGGGACUAGAGUACGGAAGAGGCGAGUGGAAUUCCUGGUGUAGCGGUGGAAUGCGCAGAUAUCAGGAGGAACACCAAUAGCGAAGGCAGCUCGCUGGGACGUUACUGACACUGAGGCGCGAAAGCGUGGGGAGCGAACGGG